AGAGUUUGAUCCUGGCUCAGAUUGAACGCUGGCGGCAGGCCUAACACAUGCAAGUCGAACGGUAACAGGAAGCAGCUUGCUGCUUCGCUGACGAGUGGCGGACGGGUGAGUAAUGUCUGGGAAACUGCCCGAUGGAGGGGGAUAACUACUGGAAACGGUAGCUAAUACCGCAUAACGUCGCAAGACCAAAGAGGGGGACCUUCGGGCCUCUUACCAUCGGAUGUGCCCAGAUGGGAUUAGCUAGUUGGUGAGGUAACGGCUCACCAAGGCGACGAUCCCUAGCUGGUCUGAGAGGAUGACCAGCCACACUGGAACUGAGACACGGUCCAGACUCCUACGGGAGGCAGCAGUGGGGAAUAUUGCACAAUGGGCGCAAGCCUGAUGCAGCCAUGCCGCGUGUAUGAAGAAGGCCUUCGGGUUGUAAAGUACUUUCAGCGGGGAGGAAGGGGAUGUGGUUAAUAACCGCGUUCAUUGACGUUACCCGCAGAAGAAGCACCGGCUAACUCCGUGCCAGCAGCCGCGGUAAUA
Molecule: ribosomal RNA, 528 nt
Filed under: uncultured bacterium
Lineage: Bacteria
Description: bacterial SSU rRNA
Rfam family: Bacterial small subunit ribosomal RNA
Source: RNAcentral